GACGUAGGGCGCGAGCGUUGUCCGGAUUUAUUGGGCGUAAAGAGCUCGUAGGCGGCUUGUCGCGUCGAAUGUGAAAUCUCAGGGCUCAACUCUGACAUUGCAUUCGAUACGGGCAGGCUAGAGUUCGGUAGGGGAGACUGGAAUUCCUGGUGUAGCGGUGAAAUGCGCAGAUAUCAGGAGGAACACCGGUGGCGAAGGCGGGUCUCUGGGCCGAUACUGACGCUGAGGAGCGAAAGCGUGGGGAGCGAACAGGAUUAGAUACCCGGGUAGU
This 271-nucleotide ribosomal RNA is filed under the name uncultured bacterium. RNAcentral's name for it is "partial 16S ribosomal RNA". It matches the Rfam family "Bacterial small subunit ribosomal RNA", at positions 524 to 794 of the family's 1533-position model. The record is from RNAcentral.